AGCAGCCGCGGUAAUUCCAGCUCCAAUAGCGUAUAUUAAAGUUGUUGCAGUUAAAAAGCUCGUAGUUGAAUUUCGGGGUUAGUAGGUUGGUCAUGCCUCUGGUAUGUACUGGUCUCACUGAUUCCUCCUUCCUGAUGAGCCGUAAUGCCAUUAAUUUGGUGUUGCGGGGAAUUUGGACUGUUACUUUGAAAAAUUAGAGUGUUUAAAGCAAGCUAACGCUUGAAUACAUUAGCAUGGAAUAAUGAAAUAGGACGUUCGAUCCUAUUUUGUUGGUUUCUAGGAUUGACGUAAUGAUUAAUAGGGAUAGUUGGGGCAUUAGUAUUCAAUUGUCAGAGGUGAAAUUCUUGGAUUUAUUGAAGACUAACUACUGCGAAAGCAUUUGCCAAGGAUGUUUUCAUUAAUACAAGAACG
Molecule: ribosomal RNA, 411 nt
Filed under: uncultured Glomus
Lineage: Eukaryota; Fungi; Glomeromycota; Glomeromycetes; Glomerales; Glomeraceae
Description: SSU rRNA
Rfam family: Eukaryotic small subunit ribosomal RNA
Source: RNAcentral